RNAcentral lists this ribosomal RNA (301 nucleotides) under uncultured bacterium. RNAcentral describes it as "partial 16S ribosomal RNA". It matches the Rfam family "Bacterial small subunit ribosomal RNA", at positions 509 to 809 of the family's 1533-position model. The record is from RNAcentral.
CAGCCGCCGCGGUAAUACGAGGGGGGCAAGCGUUGUUCGGAUUUAUUGGGCGUAAAGGGUGCGUAGGCGGUUUGGCAAGUCUUGUGUGAAAUCUUCGGGCUCAACCCGAAGCCUGCACGAGAAACUACCGGGCUUGAGUAUUGGAGAGGUGAGUGGAAUUUCCGGUGUAGCGGUGAAAUGCGUAGAUAUCGGAAGGAACACCUGUGGCGAAAGCGGCUCACUGGACAAUAACUGACGCUGAUGCACGAAAGCUAGGGGAGCAAACAGGAUUAGAUACCCCCGUAGUCCCUGUCUCUUAUAA